Molecule: long non-coding RNA, 1580 nt
Organism: Macaca mulatta (Rhesus monkey)
Lineage: Eukaryota; Metazoa; Chordata; Mammalia; Primates; Cercopithecidae
Source: Ensembl
GGCGUAAUUAUUUAAGGAUCUUGAGAUCAUUCCGGACUACAUUCAAUGACAAGUAUCCUUAUAAGAGACACACAGUGAAGAGAUGCAAAGACAGAGGCAGAGAUUGGAGGGAUGUGCCCAUGAGCCAAGGAAUACCUGGUGCCACCAGAAGCCAGAAGAGGCAAGGACCAGAUUGUCCCCAGAGGCUUCAGAGGGAGUGCAGCCUCGUGGAUACCUUGAUUUUGGAUUUCUGGUCUUCUGUUACUUUAAGCCAGCAAGCUAGUGACAAUCUACCUUCAGGAAACUAAUGUAAGUAUGCAAAGUGCAGAAAGGAGAUGCUAUGGUCCUUACUGGAACCUGGUGCUGGGUGAUGGCUCAGCCCCUCCCCACCUUGAGGACAGGCUCCCGCAAGUCUCAGCCUAUCAGGGUUGUCUCAGGUCCCUCACCAGUGAUUGGCUUAAGGGUGGGCAUGUGACCCCAUUUUAGCCAAUGAGAGGGGAGGGGAAGGUGCCCUAGGGGAAAAAUGGCCCCUCUUCCUUCCUAGAGCGUGACCAUCUGUACCUGUGUGCCCACACGGCUGGCCUGAGCAUGAGGGUGAAAGGGAGCGAUGGAAAGGCCUGCAGAAGGUGGGGCAGCAACAGGUUAUGAUACAAGCCAGAGCCUAAUCUCAACUGCAAACUGCCCACCAACGUAGAAUAUAGGAAAAUGCUUCCUAAAGGCGAAACUCUCAUACAAGACACUGGGGUCCCUGACGGGACAACCUAAGCCUGAAGCAUGUCUCCUGAUGGAAACAGAAUAUAUCCAGCAGUGACUCCUGACUGGAAGGGACCCCGAGGACCCCAAAUACCCAGAGGAGGCUCACCACAAAGAAAGGGGAAGUACAAACUGUCUGAAUGGCUAGGAUGGGAGGACGUCGGUUCUGACACAGCUUGGGGCCUACUCCUGACCCAGAUGCAUGGCUCGGAGGAUGGGUUUCAGGAAGCCUGGCUGAGGGUGAGCACAGCAGGCCGAGGCAGCCAGCUUGCUUGAGCCCGGGAGUUAGAGAUCAGCCUGUGGCAAUGUGGCAAGACCCCAUCUCUACAAAAAAAUUCAAAAAUUAGUCAGGUAUGGUGAUGCAUGUUUGCAAUCCCAGCUACUCAGAAGACUGAGUCAGGAGGGUCACCUGAGCCCAGGGAGGCCAAGGCUGCAAUGAGUUCUGAUCGUGCCAUUGCACUUCAGCCUGGGUGAGUUAGUGAGACCCUGUCUCAAAAAAAAAAAAGCUGGAACCAGAGGAGACUAAACAUGUACAAAGGCAAGUAGGAACACCCUUCUUUAAAGAGCCUCUUCCACCUGCUGGGGCUGGAGCAGCCGCAGCCUCAGCCUCAGCAGACAGGGACCCAAGUCAUCCACAGCACGACAGGCAGUGGCCCAGGAGCCUGCGCAACAUGUUACCACCAUUGGUCCUGCUCAUUACCUCUCAACCUCCACUAGAGACCUGUGAAGACAGGUGUCUUGUCCUGUUCUCUUCUGUCUCCCCAACACCUAGUACAUAAUUAAUAAUUCAUAGCUUUGGAUCAAACAAUGAAUAAAUGAUACAUCUGAAACCCAUUUAAUGUGCAGAC